RNAcentral lists this ribosomal RNA (241 nucleotides) under uncultured bacterium. Its description in RNAcentral is "partial 16S ribosomal RNA". It matches the Rfam family "Bacterial small subunit ribosomal RNA", at positions 524 to 762 of the family's 1533-position model. The record is from RNAcentral.
UACGUAGGGUGCAAGCGUUGUCCGGAAUUAUUGGGCGUAAAGAGCUCGUAGGCGGCUUGUCGCGUCUGCUGUGAAAACCCGNGGCUCAACCUCGGGCGUUGUCAGUGGGUACGGGCAGGCUAGAGUGCGGUAGGGGAGAUUGGAAUUCCUGGUGUAGCGGUGGAAUGCGCAGAUAUCAGGAGGAACACCAAUGGCGAAGGCAGAUCUCUGGGCCGUAACUGACGCUGAGGAGCGAAAGCAU